UGCAAAUGGAGAUGUUACAGAGCUGCCAAGUAGAAAGGAAUUAAAAGUUCAGUGUAAAAGUUAUUAUAAAUUAGAAGGACCUGAAAAAGUAGGAUGUGUGGAAGAAGAAUGGACGGAGCUCCCGGUGUGUAAACUUACAGGAGGUGGGGGCGGUGGUGAAUUUCUACGUCCUGAUCAGAUUGGGGUUCUGCUGCCAGUCCAUAUUUGUGGAUCUCACCCCCUUAUUGUAAAUGGAGAUGUUACAGAGAUGCCAAGUGGAAAGGAAUUAAAAGUUCAGUGUGUGAAAUUACAUAAACUAGAUGGACCUAAAACUGUAGGAUGUGUUAAUGAGGAAUGGACGCCGCUUCCAGAGUGUAAACCUCCAUGUAAAGUGGAAGGUGAACGUAUUCAUUCUAGUCAGUCUGAUGAAUAUCUGCAAGAGGGUGAAGAGAAGAGAUAUUACUGUGCUUUCCUCAAGAAAAUAAAUGUCAAAUGCUUCAAAGGAAUACCAAUCUACGGUGAAUGUAAGUGUAUCCUGUGUUUUAU
Long non-coding RNA from Clarias gariepinus (North African catfish), 525 nucleotides. RefSeq lists it as uncharacterized. The record is from RefSeq and is a predicted model, not a curated record. The transcript is spliced from 4 exons. NCBI's taxonomy places the organism in Eukaryota, Metazoa, Chordata, Actinopteri, Siluriformes, Clariidae.